This 107-nucleotide small nucleolar RNA is filed under the name Gossypium arboreum. RNAcentral describes it as "Plant small nucleolar RNA R71". It matches the Rfam family "Plant small nucleolar RNA R71". Rfam says of the family: R71 is a member of the C/D box family of snoRNAs containing the C (UGAUGA) and D (CUGA) box motifs. Multiple nearly identical copies of this snoRNA have been identified in Arabidopsis, and it is thought to function as a 2'-O-ribose methylation guide for 18S ribosomal RNA. Lineage: Eukaryota; Viridiplantae; Streptophyta; Magnoliopsida; Malvales; Malvaceae. The record is from Rfam by way of RNAcentral.
AACCCAUGGUGAGGGCACCUUCUCAGUAAGUCCUUGUAUUUCUCCCAUGCACCAUAGAGUGUUUCUAAACCCAUCUACACAAAAUAAGAGAUAUCAUUACACAAUUU